UCUGAUUAUUAGACACACGUGGAUCUGAAAAGGUGCUCUUCCUCAUUAGCAUCCAGAGAAUUAUAUUACUGUAGAUCUGAAAAGGUGCUCUUCCUCCAUUAGCAUUCAGAGAAUUAUAUUACUGUAGAUUUGAAAAGGUGCUCUUCCUCCAUUAGCAUUCAGAGAAUUAUAUUACUGUAGAUUUGAAAAGGUGCUCUUCCUCCAUUAGCAUCCAGAGAAUUAUAUUACUGUAGAUCUGAAAAGGUGCUCUUCCUCCAUUAGCAUCCAGAGAAUUAUAUUACUGUAGAUUUGAAAAGGUGCUCUUCCUCCAUUAGCAUCCAGAGAAUUAUAUUACUGUAGAUCUGAAAAGGUGCUCUUCCUCCAUUAGCAUCCAUUAGCAUCCAGAGAAUUAUAUUACUGUAGAUCUGAAAAGGUGCUCUUCCUCCAUUAGCAUCCAGAUAAUUAUAUUACUGUAGAUGAAAGUCAAAAAUGAGUUUGACAUCCUGGCAUUUUUAAAGCAUUUACUUUUAAGUUUCAAAAUUGCACAUACUAGAGAACGUCCUAUUUCCACAUAACCAAAAUGGCCACUAUUUAGAAUACGAGUACAAGUAUUAGAACACGGUCAUAGUGUUGACUGCACACGGUAGUUCAGGUAUUGUGACAUAGCCGUAGUGUUUUGACAGUACAUACGGUAGUCUAUUCCCAUAUGCUCUUC
This is a long non-coding RNA of Oncorhynchus keta (chum salmon), 694 nucleotides long. RefSeq lists it as uncharacterized. The record is from RefSeq and is a predicted model, not a curated record. The transcript has 3 exons. Lineage: Eukaryota; Metazoa; Chordata; Actinopteri; Salmoniformes; Salmonidae.